CUUGGCAGUUGGUUCACCGCACCUUCAACACCAAAUUAAUACACAACAAGGUUCAAUUUUAGAAACAAGAAUAACAAAGAAUGAACAUGAACAUUACAGUUUUCAUUAGUGAUUAUAAAUUGUAUUAACACAAGAAAAUGUAAAGAGGAACGGCAAUUUAUUAACAUCAUUGAUGAUAUUCUCAUAAUAACUCCAUCCAAAGAACCAAAAAGAUCAAUUGCAAAAAUUUACUCAUUUUUCUUCUUCUUUUUUUUUAGUUGUUUUCGAUAAUCGCAAUUGACAUCAAACGACUCCAACUGAUGAUCUCACUUGGGCAGCACAAGUUGCACACUAGUGUGGCAUCCAAAUUCACGCAUGCAAUUGCAGAAUCUCAUCAUUCAGAGAAAAAUACCUAUCUAUCGAGAUAGCAACAACUACAUUUUUUUUUCAAGAAAGAGAGAGAAGGGGGGAGGGAGAUGAGAACCGGCAAUAUGUGUUUUCAAGAACAAAAGAAGAGAAAACGAAAAAAGAUAUGUGGCUAAAUUAAUAUGUGUACUACAAGUCAACACCCAGGAUCAUGCCUCUUGUAAUAAUUUUCUAGCAAUCACUGAUUUAAAUUAUACAUAAAUAG
RNAcentral lists this unclassified non-coding RNA (610 nucleotides) under Hevea brasiliensis (rubber tree). Lineage: Eukaryota; Viridiplantae; Streptophyta; Magnoliopsida; Malpighiales; Euphorbiaceae. The record is from RNAcentral.